This 595-nucleotide ribosomal RNA is filed under the name Pleosporales sp. Its description in RNAcentral is "eukaryotic LSU rRNA". The stretch from base 223 to 376 matches the Rfam family "5.8S ribosomal RNA". Lineage: Eukaryota; Fungi; Ascomycota; Dothideomycetes; Pleosporales. The record is from RNAcentral.
UCCGUAGGUGAACCUGCGGAAGGAUCAUUAAAUACAGUAGAUUUCUACUGAUCGGGGGGGUGGAAAGUCCCAGUUUGAUUACUGGAUCACGAGUAAGCCCCCUGUCUGCAACCCUUGUCUUUUGCGUACUCANUGUUUCCUCGGCGGGCUUGCCUGCCGAAUGGACAAUUCUAAAANCCUUUUUAAUUUUCAAUCAGCGUCUGAACAAUNUAUAAUAAUUACAACUUUCAACAACGGAUCUCUUGGUUCUGGCAUCGAUGAAGAACGCAGCGAAAUGCGAUAAGUAGUGUGAAUUGCAGAAUUCAGUGAAUCAUCGAAUCUUUGAACGCACAUUGCGCCCCUUGGUAUUCCAUGGGGCAUGCCUGUUCGAGCGUCAUUUGUACCCUCAAGCUAUGCUUGGUGUUGGGUGUUUGUCCUCUCCCCUGCGUUUGGACUCGCCUUAAAGAAAUUGGCAGCCAGUGUAUUGGUCUUGAAGCGCAGCACAAUUUGCGAUUCUAGCUAAUAACNACUUGCAACCAUCAAGUCUAUUUAACACUUUUGACCUCGGAUCAGGUAGGGAUACCCGCUGAACUUAAGCAUAUCAAUAAGCGGAGGA